CUAGCGUUGUUCGGAAUUACUGGGCGUAAAGCGCACGUAGGCGGACAUUUAAGUUGGAGGUGAAAGCCUUGGGCUCAACCCAAGAAUUGCCUUUGAUACUGGAUGUCUCGAGACCGGGAGAGGUGAGUGGAAUUCCGAGUGUAGGGGUGAAAUUCGUAGAUAUUCGGAAGAACACCAGUGGCGAAGGCGGCUCACUGGCCCGGUUCUGACGCUGAGGUGCGAAAGCGUGGGGAGCAAACAGG
RNAcentral lists this ribosomal RNA (242 nucleotides) under uncultured bacterium. RNAcentral describes it as "partial 16S ribosomal RNA". It matches the Rfam family "Bacterial small subunit ribosomal RNA", at positions 535 to 776 of the family's 1533-position model. The record is from RNAcentral.